UUUGGGGGAGACAUGGCUAUAUGUCAGGCCUGUGAGAACCCAAUGCAGGAACAGCAUGUGAUAUGAAAAUGGAAACUGUCAGAUUGAAACCAUACAUGGCGAAGUCAAAAAGAGACUCUUUCUUGCACUGUUUCAGAGAGUGCUAAACUCAGAAAGGCAAAACAAGGUUAGAAUGAAGCCCAUGCAAAGAAAAUAUGGACCUGAAGAAAAACAAGCUAUGGACUAUCUUCUGUCUCAUGCUAGCAGUGGAAUAGGAAAAGGACUCAAAAGACUUCUACUGGCCAUAAUGAAGUACCUGUUACUAUAUUUGCUUUCCUACCAUAAGCAACUAUAAAACUGGACAAUAUAUAGGCAACUGAUCUCAUGCAUUUCAAGCAGCACAGGAUUCUGAUAAUUAACAGAAGGAAAGCACAUGAGGAUAAUACUGGAGGCUGCCAUGGGAGAAGUCUGCACAAAAAGAGCAAGUUUAAGAGCUUCAGGAGUCAUAAAUGGCUUGAGAAGAUUAUGCUAGAGAUUGAAGCAGAUGGAAGAUUCUAGAAACAGAAAGCAUUCUUUUCAUUGGUGUGAGUCUUGAAUAUAAAUGGAAAUCAGAGGUCUGUAAUAGCAGGCCAGUGUGGAUAAGGCAGUAAGGUUUUGAGUCUGAGGAGAUGGCUGGGGGCAGUUUGUAGACUUAUUGUCAGUCCAGUGUAGAAUUUGAGAAUAUAGCCAGGGCUUAAGGUUCCAGUUUCAAAUUAAAGACAAAAGAAAUCAGCAAUACCAAAAUGAAGACAGAAGCCUGGGAAUUGUGCCUCAAGAUCUGGACUGAGAGGACAUUUCUACACAACAGCUCCCCUAAGGGCAGGGCUAUGACCGUUGUUGCUAAGCUGUCACCAUCUCUCCUUCCCUAUUAGACUGGCUUCUGUGGGGUAAUUAACCAGUACAAGGAUGUAUGGGAAGCUCUUCUGAGAAGACCUCACAUUAAAACAAAGUGUUGUUAUUCAAGCUGGGUCAUAUUUGGGCACCUUGUUAUUACAGCUUUGAGGAGGGAUAUCAAACUGUCAUAUUCACCUAUGAGUUUAGGAUCAGUGGAGGGAAGAGAACAGAAGGGCCACACAGAAGGGGAAGCUCAGGCACAGAUGGCCAGCAGCCAGGCUCGCUGUAGAGGUGAGAUUAUCAAACAUGACCAUACAAAGGCUGCAGAGGCAAGAUGCUUCCAAUAGCCAGGAAGAAUGUGGGCAGGGGAGAAUUUGGUCCAUUUGAAGUCAGAAUUAUACAUGAAGACACUUGUAAUCAAAUAAAUGCAGAACAUAUUUGUAAAGGGAAAUAAAGUAGGAGUUAAUUUUUUUUAACAAAUUAUGAUUGAAAUCUAAAAUACCAAGAUUAACAUUCUACAAGGGUAUUAAUACAACAAUGCCAUUUUAACUCAAAGAAUGUCUAAAUAUUUGUACAAAAUAGCUGCUUACUGAUGCUUGUGAAAAGGAAGAGAUUGCUUCCCAGCACACUGUAUCAGAGAGCCAUGAUAAUAGCCAUAGCUUAAGCAGACAAAGUAAAAUGUAAAAAUCCAAAAAA
RNAcentral lists this long non-coding RNA (1548 nucleotides) under Homo sapiens (human). RNAcentral describes it as "long intergenic non-protein coding RNA 1013". Lineage: Eukaryota; Metazoa; Chordata; Mammalia; Primates; Hominidae. The record is from RNAcentral.